UACGGGGGUGGCAAGCGUUGUUCGGAAUUACUGGGCGUAAAGGGCUCGUAGGCGGCCAACUAAGUCCGACGUGAAAUCCCCAGGCUUAACCUGGGAACUGCGUCGGAUACUGGAUGGCUUGAAUCCGGGAGAGGGAUGCGGAAUUCCAGGUGUAGCGGUGAAAUGCGUAGAUAUCUGGAGGAACACCGGUGGCGAAGGCGGGUCUCUGGGCCGAUACUGACGCUGAGGAGCGAAAGCGUGGGGAGCGAACAGG
This 253-nucleotide ribosomal RNA is filed under the name uncultured bacterium. RNAcentral's name for it is "partial 16S ribosomal RNA". It matches the Rfam family "Bacterial small subunit ribosomal RNA", at positions 524 to 776 of the family's 1533-position model. The record is from RNAcentral.